This is a long non-coding RNA of Ictidomys tridecemlineatus (thirteen-lined ground squirrel), 3192 nucleotides long. The record is from Ensembl. Lineage: Eukaryota; Metazoa; Chordata; Mammalia; Rodentia; Sciuridae.
CCCCGCGGCGACCCGGAGGCGCGGAGCGUGCACCAAGGCUCGGCUCCCCCUCCCGGAGUGGCCCGUGCGGGAGCAGCUGCCCGCAAGGCCCCCGGCCCGGGGGUGCAAGGGCCCCGCCUCGGCCUGGGCCCCGGGCGCCGUGGCCCCCAGCGGAGGGGAAGGGGACAGAGGACGGGAAGAAGCUGUAAACAGCCCCAGCGUCCGGGCCUCGCCUCGAAGAGCCCCGCUUCCCAGGCCCCGCCGCGGGCCGCCCAGGACCCCGGCCCGCCCCGGGGCCGCGCCGCCCGGGGCCUGGGGCACCGGAGGGGAGUCAGGGUCCCUCCCCAGAAGGCUCGGGCGGCUCGCGGAGCGGCCCCGGCAGCAGAGAAGGGGGAAGUCAGGACUUACCUGUCAUUACUUUCUACGCCAUCUUGGAUCCACUUGUCAACGUCCCCACAAAGCAUUAUGGAGGUAGAGACCCCUCCCCUUGGAAUGUGGCUUUGGGCUCCGCGGGACCCUCCCCGUUAAGAGUCCGGGCUGUGGACUGUGACUUCCCGGCGCAGGUAACUCAGUCGCCCACUGCGGGCGCGGGGCGGGGCGCGGAGGCGCGACAGGGCCCGGGGGAGGGUCCCCGGGAGGGUCUAGGAGAAGGGUGCUCCCGCAGCGGUCCACCUGCCUGGUUCCUACAGGACAGCGAGCCCCGGCGGCGGGGCCAGGGGUGGAGCGCGGGCGCCGCUGUGGCUUGGGGGCGGGGAAGGGGGGGGGAUACGGAGUCGCCCUGCGGCGACCCGGAGCGCUGCUAGUAGAACCCGAGCCGGCUGAAACCCGGACGUUCUGCUGGGCUCACCACUCUGGCCUGUUAGGGUUGCAGAGACCCCAGCAUCAAUCCAGUAGCCUAAGUUCCCCCAGAAACAGAGGUUUGUUCUUCAAUCCACGCACAUUCUCUUCCUAGAGCCUCCGGUGUCCGCUUUGCUAACUUUGGAGACCUGCUCUGAUUGCUGUUUUUUCCCCCCCUUUUAUUUUCCCAAGAAAGUGUUGGUAUACAAAAAGGUGUCCAGAAGAAAUUCUCCAAGACUUUUGGACCUAGGGUGUAUCUCAGUGAUAGAGUGGGUAUUUAGUAUGUCUCAAGGCGCUGGAUUCUAUCCCCAGAACCAAAAAUAAAGAAAGAAAAACAAAUAAAGAAAUGCUGCGAGGUAUCAAAGUAUUCGGUACAAAAUGCUGUUGAAUGGCUUUGCAGUUAGAAGAAAUCGCGGGUACCAACGUUAACCCCGCCCCCACUGCAUUCCUGUUUCGGUGCUUGGGGAGGACCCUAGGUUGGCCCUAAAGUUCUGCACUCCUCUGGAUCUUACCAGAAGUCUCUUUAGGAACUAGUGUGGUUGCAGACACAAGCCCUGCCCCCGGGGAGCCAAAAACUCCACCGGGCAAUUGUCUUGGCCAGAGGAGAAGAGUGAGGUGUGGACUCAUUAAGGGAUUGGCCCGGGGUCACUCGUGAGGGAGGGAGCAGGUGAGUCACUCCCAGCCACUGAGAACCGGCUUGCAGAGGAGGGACCUCCCCUGAGUCACUGCUUCGCUGAGCUCCCGAGAAGCUCAGAAUGAGUUGAGAAACUGAAGCCUGGAGCCAAGUUUUUUAGAGUUUCAAAGCUCCUGUAGCCACUAGGGAGGGGCUAGGCAGCGCUCCCUCCCACCCCAGACCUCUGUAAUGCAGUUCCAAAGUCCUCUUUCCCCCAUACCCCAGUUCUCACUUAUUUAGCCACUGGUAUGCACUGAUUUAAUGAUUGUCUUGUGUUUACAUGGCACCUUUAAAGAUGAGAUCUGAGCUACCUUGUAAGUAAACAUUAACAAAAUCAGGGCAAGGACUGGACCUCUCAAGCAUGCUUCUUUGGUAAUCUUCCUUUGCUUGCAAAGGCCUUGACCUAAAGAAAUGCUCCAUUCAAGUGAUCACCUGACCCAUUUACUACCUUCAGUGUGUGUCCCCGCCCAUCCUUGUCUAAGACCCUAUUACCUAUGCUUCUUCCCUCUGCCGCCCCACCCCACCCCACCCCUUCCCUUAUAGUCCGUUAAGCCUGUGGCCAACCCAGUGACCUUAGUGAAAUAUAAGUAGAUCUUGUGACUCCUCCCCUUAAACCUACCAAAGUCUUUCCAUCAUGCAUAGAAUAAACCCAGAGCCUGCAAGAUGGGCCAGGCUGACCUUCUGUCUUCCCCUGCAGUUCCCCACAUGUCCUUACUGCCAGAAUCCUGUUCCUCCAAUUCCCUGCCUGUCAUCAUCUUUUCAUCCUUCAGGUUUACCUUCUCAAGGAGGACCUCUGUGAUGCCUUAAGUAAAGCAGGUCAUUCUGCAGGAUCCUGCCUCAUAUUAGAAAGUAUCUUGCUAUGUCUUUGCUGUUUAUUAUCUGCCCCCUUAGAGUACAAGUUCCCUGAGGGCACAGUCCUCCUCUAACCUAUUGCUCUCAAUGCCUAGACCAGGACCUGACAUCCAGAGAUGCUUAGCAAAUAUCCGUUGAGUGAAUGACCAAGCUGCUGCCAGGGCAAGCGGAUGUUGGUAGACAGGAGUGCUGAAGCCUGAAGUGAACGGACCUUCAUUCUCUUCAGAUCACUCUGACCAUGUACAACUAGAGGUGGCCAUAUAGGAAAACAGGCCAUUCAGCCUCCAUUAACUUAGAUGUAUUCUGCUCCUGAUCUGAUGGACACAUGCAGUACCAGAUAAUUACCCCAUCAUGUCCCGCUUCUCUCCCCGCUAUUACCCAUGACCAUACCUCAGUUUUCUACUACUUAAAGAGUCCCAAAGGCUUCUCUCUCUCUUCUCUCUCUUCUCUCUCUCUCUCUCUCUCUCUCUCUCUCUCUCUCUCUGAAACCAUAGUCCUACAUAGUCCACCUCCUCUCCUCUCUCUGAUAUCCUCUGUCACCCGUGCUCUUCGACAGCCACAAUGACCUUUUUUUUUUAAGGAGGAGAGGGAGAGAAAGAGAGAAUUUUUUUUUAAUAUUUAUUUCUUAGUAUUUGGCGGACACAACAUCUUUGUUUGUAUGUGGUGCUGAGGAUUGAACCCAGAGCCACACGCAUGCCAGGCGAGCCUGCUACCGCUUGAGCCACAUCCCCAGCCACAAUGGCCUUUUUUGAGAUCCACAAGUCACACUUUUGCCUUCUUCAACUCCUCACUCCAGUGAGCCCCUCUGUCACCAUUCUAUUUAAAAUUAAAAUAUUUCUACAGACUCUAUA